GAUGAACGCUGGCGGCGUGCCUAAUACAUGCAAGUCGAGCGAACAGACGAGGAGCUUGCUCCUCUGACGUUAGCGGCGGACGGGUGAGUAACACGUGGAUAACCUACCUAUAAGACUGGGAUAACUUCGGGAAACCGGAGCUAAUACCGGAUAAUAUAUUGAACCGCAUGGUUCAAUAGUGAAAGACGGUUUUGCUGUCACUUAUAGAUGGAUCCGCGCCGCAUUAGCUAGUUGGUAAGGUAACGGCUUACCAAGGCGACGAUGCGUAGCCGACCUGAGAGGGUGAUAGGCCACACUGGAACUGAGACACGGUCCAGACUCCUACGGGAGGCAGCAGUAGGGAAUCUUCCGCAAUGGGCGAAAGCCUGACGGAGCAACGCCGCGUGAGUGAUGAAGGUCUUCGGAUCGUAAAACUCUGUUAUUAGGGAAGAACAAAUGUGUAAGUAACUAUGCACGUCUUGACGGUACCUGAUCAAAAAGCCACGGCUAACUACGUG
Molecule: ribosomal RNA, 497 nt
Filed under: uncultured bacterium
Lineage: Bacteria
Description: partial 16S ribosomal RNA
Rfam family: Bacterial small subunit ribosomal RNA
Source: RNAcentral